RNAcentral lists this ribosomal RNA (493 nucleotides) under uncultured bacterium. RNAcentral describes it as "bacterial SSU rRNA". It matches the Rfam family "Bacterial small subunit ribosomal RNA", at positions 8 to 501 of the family's 1533-position model. The record is from RNAcentral.
AGAGUUUGAUCCUGGCUCAGGAUGAACGCUAGCGGCAGGCCUAACACAUGCAAGUCGAACGGUAAGGCCCCUUCGGGGGUACACGAGUGGCGCACGGGUGAGUAACGCGUAUGCAACCUACCUUUAACAGGGGUAUAGCUCCCGGAAACGGGAAUUAAUCCCCCAUAGUUCAUGACCACCGCAUGGUGGAUAUGAUAAAGCUCCGGCGGUUAAAGAUGGGCAUGCGUGACAUUAGAUAGUUGGUAAGGUAACGGCUUACCAAGUCUACGAUGUCUAGGGGGUCUGAGAGGAUGGUCCCCCACACUGGUACUGAGACACGGACCAGACUCCUACGGGAGGCAGCAGUGAGGAAUAUUGGGCAAUGGGCGAGAGCCUGACCCAGCCAUGCCGCGUGCAGGAUGACGGCCCUAUGGGUUGUAAACUGCUUUUGUACGGGAAGAAUAGGCUCUACGUGUAGAGAUUUGACGGUACCGUACGAAUAAGCACCGCUAAC